GAAGGCCUCUCUUUGCCAGGAAAGUUCUGUAGAGGAAACUAUCACUGUAAAAACAUGUGUGGUGCAUCCCCAGUGUGACCUGGGGGGUAUUCUGCAGGUAGCACCUCUGGGGUGGAGAGGGAGCCUGCUCAGUAAAACACUUGUGGAUGUGAUUCUCCAAGCAUGUAUGUGCUAGAUUACUAACACAUUUAAAAUGUGUGCUUGGGAUCUUUACAUGGAUGGUUACCUCCUCCCCCCGUCAUAAAAUGCCAUUAGACCAAUAUUGUGCUUUAUGUAAGACAUUGAAUGAUCGCGUUACCUGUGUUUUUAUGAGGAGUAACAGGGGGGAGGAAAGCAAGACCGGAGUCUUGCACCUUCUACUAUGUGUCCCGCUGUUCUUUUAAUAACUCAUGCAUUGUGUUGGUACAGAAAGCGGCUCCUAGUGAGAAGUAACAAGCUGAAAUGGGAUAGAAAAUAGAGAAGCCAGGAGAUUCUAAUCCUUAAAGGCACACUGAAGGUAAGGGUGUGUACAGCAGCAUGAAUAGGAGCAGCAGUUAUAUACCCAAGCACCUCUGCAUCGCACACAAAUAUAGCAUGAAGAAGUAGCAGUAAGAAGCUACUUGGAAGAAAAAUGCAGUUGUUCAAUAGGGUAAAGUUUUAAGAAUGCAAGAUUUUUCUUCUUGCUUUGAUUAGUUUUAAAUUCCGUGGUUUUGUGUUUGAGGAAAAGGAAAAUAUUUACUUGUAUAAUUAUAAAGAUUUUUAUGAUUAUUUUUUUCUCAACACUGUAAGUUUUGCUUCUUUGGAGCCUAAAGUACUUAGAAAUUUUUCUGCCUUCAUUGUCCAGUUGCAAAUAACUCAGAAUAUGGCAUGUGAGUUGUGGAGGUGUGGUUUAUGGCCUGAGUAAAAACAGUAUUUGAGUAUAGGCAUAAUUUCAGGAAUGUGGCUUACUUAGUUUAAAUUCAGCAAAAAUGUAUUUGUACAAGUGCAGCACUCAGUUAGAAAGGUGAGAUUUCAAUGCAGCCAAAGUCCCAUUUUUGAAGGUAGUGCAUAUAGUGCCCUGUUGACCUGCAGGGUGAUUCAGGUGUCUAAGUCACUGUAAUUAAAGGGAAAAAUAGAAAAAAACCUGUUUUUCUAAGUUGUUGCAUCGUUAAACAUUGUCUGUUUUGAAGGCCUGCAGGGACUGUGGUGAGUGUAAGAGGUGUCUUCCAGAAGCUCCAUAGACUGCAGGGUUUAUGUGGAUUCCUGUUUAAAGAAUGGUAAUGAGGACAUUUUAAGUGGUUAACAGUAGCAGAAACUGGCUUCUCAAAGUCCUUGUAUAGUUUUUCUUUUCUUUCUUAGCAGCAGGGAUGUUGGUCAGGUUGGACCUCAGGAGGCCACCUCCAUGCGCAGGGUUGGUCCUAGUAGCAGAUCAGGUCAGCCAUAGUGUUUUUCCAGUUGAGGCUUGAAAACCUUCAUAAAUGGAGGUACCAAAACCUAUCUGUGCAUCUUUUGGUUUCUUUUAGUGUGUUGUCUUUCUCUGAUUAUAUUUCAGUUUGUGUUAUGUUGCUGGUAAGUAUAUCUGUGUUCAUUUUAUGGUGCUUUCUGGUCUUUUUUUCCUGACUUGAUGUAGUAGAUCGAUCAUAUGAAUAUAUAUAGGAUCUUUGUUUAUAGUUUACAUGAAAAGGAUGGCUUUAACCUAGUGGAGCUGAUCCUUCAUGACUCCCUUUGUUAACAGGGAGAGGCUAGCUCCUGCAGAAAGUAUUGCAGAGAAAGAACUUCUGCCUUACUAUUGACUGUAAUAGAGACAACUUAUCUCACAUGGCUAAAGUUGCCCAUGUGAGAGCAGAGCUUAAGACACAGGAGCUUCAGCUUUGGAGAGCAAUGAGUGGCGUGUUUCUGCGGAGCUGUGGACUUCUUUUAUUGACUCAAACACACAGUUUAAAGAAAAUGGGGAUGGGUGUGUGUGGCCAAAUGAAAGUAUAUUGUUUUUUAUAAAGUGUCACCUGCAACGUGCUUUUAAAUAAACCCCUAUAUAACCAUGUA
Pezoporus occidentalis (night parrot) is the source of this 2001-nucleotide long non-coding RNA. RefSeq lists it as uncharacterized. NCBI's taxonomy places the organism in Eukaryota, Metazoa, Chordata, Aves, Psittaciformes, Psittacidae. The transcript is spliced from 2 exons. The record is from RefSeq and is a predicted model, not a curated record.